Long non-coding RNA from Brassica oleracea var. oleracea, 1339 nucleotides. RefSeq lists it as uncharacterized. The record is from RefSeq and is a predicted model, not a curated record. The transcript has 2 exons. Lineage: Eukaryota; Viridiplantae; Streptophyta; Magnoliopsida; Brassicales; Brassicaceae.
AGAGUUAAAAAAAAUAACAUCGCCACAUUUCUAUAAAAAUAAAAGUAAGAAUAGAAGAAGAAAAAACAAAAUCAGAGAGAGGAGAGAAAAGCAAUUCUCCCUCUGGUUUCUCCCCCACAACCGCCUUAACCCUAGAUCCGCAAAGCCUCUUCUCCUCCGGUGACUGGGGGUUCCUCUACCUCCGGUCACCCCACCGUUCGUCUGCUGUCCCACCGGCCUUCCCCCUUAGUUUCUCCUUCUCUACCCUCUCCUUCUUGCUCAGUUCUCUGGAUUUUCGAGUUUCAUCGGAUCUAAUCAAAGACACAUGUGUGUGUUGUCUCUCUGGAGAACCGACAAGGUGAGGGUUCGCUGGUGAGCCUAAGGAGCCUUCGAUUCAGCUUCUCCCUGUCAUACGGACAGAUCUGGGUCAGAUCUGAUCUUGCCUCUGCCGGUGAGGAUGGUGGUGCGUCGCUGCCUCUUCCUACCUCUCUCGUCUAUGGCUUGUACCUGUGUAUCUCUGGGUUUCAGCUUGUAUCAAGGUCCCAGUGAAUUUCUCCUCUCCGUCUAGGAGAAACGGUGGUGUCUAGGCCCAUCGCUCAAGGGACCUCUGUUCUAGUUCAAUCGAUAACUGCCAUGGUGUUCAGCAGCAGCGAUUUGGUGGCUCGUCUCCUCACUUUCGGACAUUGGUGAUUAGGGUUUUGAGGACGACCCAACGUGCCACGUCUACCGCUGAGAAACAGAGCCGUCGAGUCCUGUAGUUGUGCCUGCUUAUUGAGGUGACUCAUGUCUCCUCUUGUGCUUCAAUCCUUUCUCUAAACUCAGACGAAACUUCUUUGAAUCCCCUUGAUGUCGCCAUCGUCUGUUUGUGUCGCGUGGCCGGAUGAGGAGCCAAAAACCGCAUGCGCUUGACAUGAUUAUGUUCUUCAUUUCAUCGGGUCUUUGUCAGGGAUUCUCUGUUUGCCUUCUGUUGAGAUAGUUUGUGUAUGGUUACUUGACGUCCUCCUACUUUGGUGUACCGGAACCGUUGCUUGCCGCCUCCGUCGAAGCCGUUGGGAGCCACUUUCGGGUGAGGGUUCGAGCUACUGUAUGUAGUUUUGUCAAUAUCUAAAAGAACAAAAGAAAAGAAAAGAUUAUAAGAAGAUUAUAAGGGUUACUUUGGUGAAGAAGCACGAGGCGGUGGCCGCCGAAAAAGAAGCAGAGAUUGGGGUCACUUUGAAUCUAGCCUUGAUUUUGUUAUUUAAUGAGUUAAGUAUUCUCUUGAGAAAGAUUAAAGGUUACAAAUACAGUGAGAUGAUGGGUGUAGUGGGAAAAUAAUAGGAGUUUUAUAUUAAAAAAUAAUAUAUAGAAAUUAGUUAAUACA